Molecule: ribosomal RNA, 421 nt
Filed under: uncultured bacterium
Lineage: Bacteria
Description: bacterial SSU rRNA
Rfam family: Bacterial small subunit ribosomal RNA
Source: RNAcentral
UAAGGAAUAUUGGUCAAUGGACGCAAGUCUGAACCAGCCAUGCCGCGUGAAGGAUGAAGGUCUUCUGGAUUGUAAACUUCUUUUAUCUGGGACGAAAACGGGAUUUUUAUCUCAAUUGACGGUACCAGAGGAAUAAGCACCGGCUAACUCCGUGCCAGCAGCCGCGGUAAUACGGAGGGUGCGAGCGUUAUCCGGAUUUACUGGGUUUAAAGGGUGCGUAGGUGGGCUUAUAAGUCAGUGGUGAAAUCUCCGAGCUUAACUUGGAAACUGCCAUUGAUACUGCAGGCCUAGAGUAUAGAUGACGUAGGCGGAAUAUGACAUGUAGUGGUGAAAUGCUUAGAUAUGACAUAGAACACCAAUUGCGAAGGCAGCUUACUACAUAUAAAUUGACGCUGAGGCACGAAAGCGUGGGGAUCAAACA